Molecule: ribosomal RNA, 492 nt
Filed under: uncultured bacterium
Lineage: Bacteria
Description: partial 16S ribosomal RNA
Rfam family: Bacterial small subunit ribosomal RNA
Source: RNAcentral
GAUGAACGCUAGCUACAGGCUUAACACAUGCAAGUCGAGGGGCAGCGGUAUCGAAAGCUUGCUUUCGGUAGCCGGCGACCGGCGCACGGGUGAGUAACGCGUAUCGAACCUGCCUCAUACUCGGGAAUAGCCUUGCGAAAGUAAGAUUAAUGCCCGGUGUUUUCAGAGUCCCGCAUGAGGCUUUGAACAAAGAUUUAUCGGUAUGAGAUGGCGAUGCGUCCCUUUAGCUUGUUGGCGGGGUAACGGCCCACCAAGGCAUCGAUGGGUAGGGGUUCUGAGAGGAAGGUCCCCCACAUUGGAACUGAGACACGGUCCAAACUCCUACGGGAGGCAGCAGUGAGGAAUAUUGGUCAAUGGGCGGAAGCCCGAACCAGCCAAGUAGCGUGCAGGAAGACGGCCCUCCGGGUUGUAAACUGCUUUUAGUUGGGAAUAAAACGGGGCUCGUGAGCCCCCUUGCAUGUACCAUCAGAAAAAGGACCGGCUAAUUCCGUG